Neoarius graeffei (lesser salmon catfish) is the source of this 976-nucleotide long non-coding RNA. RefSeq lists it as uncharacterized. NCBI's taxonomy places the organism in Eukaryota, Metazoa, Chordata, Actinopteri, Siluriformes, Ariidae. The record is from RefSeq and is a predicted model, not a curated record. The transcript is spliced from 2 exons.
GGCGGGCCAGAAUGCAACAAAGCAGGGUUGGUUGAGCAUGGCGGCAGCAGCCGGUAAACUGGGAAGCAGUGAAAGUUUAUUGUGCUGAUAAGCAAGUGACUUUUGCAAAGUUGGAAUUCUGGAGUGGUGGCAGCUGGUGAGAACACUGGCUUCUCCGUCUCGAACAAGUCGGUUUCCUCAGUCUCUCUCUCCCCCGGGAGGAUUUCCCCGCCGCCUGACUCCGCCCACACAGCGCUGGUUCAGGAACCCUGGACAAUUCAACAAGCUACCUAACAAGCGAACUUUGGCUCGACUGGAUUUAUUAAGUUGACCCGGAACUACAGAGCGUUUAUUUCUCUCGGAGGAGCUGUUUACGAACACUCGGACUCUCGCACACUGUGACACUAAAGACUGAAACUGUGUGUGUGUGUGUGUGUGAUAAUCUUGUGCGGUAAUUUUGGAGGUUUUCUUUCAUUUAUAUGCUGAGGUUUAUUUGUCUUUGAGAGACACACCAAAUAAUAUUGCUUAUUCUGUAAUUGCCAGUAAGGUUCACUGAUCUUGGCUCAGUUGGUGUUAAUCCAUCAAUGUGUAGCAUUCAAUUUAUUCCGGACCAUUAAAGACGCCGCCUUCCGCGUAGAAUCAUACGUCAUCCUCGCCGCCAUAUUGGAUAGGUCAAAGCGGAGAAUAAAGAUGCCUCAUUCAUGUGCUGCGUUUAACUGUACCAACAGGUUUACCAUCCAAACGAGAUCACAUGGGAUUACCUUUCACAGCUUCACAGCGCAGAACUGAGAGGCAGCUGCUGUUAAAGCUCAACAGAGUUCAUGGAGUGAACACACACACACACACACACACACUGUUAUGGUUUAUGUGCAGACUGCCUUGAGCUUCUUGUUAUUGUUAAUACACAGAACUGCACACACACAGUUUAUAUGUGUGAAAUAUAUAUGAAAUCUCUGCCUGUUAUGCCGUCCUGAUCAAUAAACAGAGUUACUCAGCA